CAUGUAGGCGGUUUUUUAAGUCCGGAGUGAAAAUGCGGGGCUCGACCCCGUAUGGCUCUGGAUACUGGAAGACUUGAGUGCAGGAGAGGAAAGGGGAAUUCCCAGUGUAGCGGUGAAAUGCGUAGAUAUUGGGAGGAACACCAGUGGCGAAGGCGCCUUUCUGGACUGUGUCUGACGCUGAGGCUCGAAAGCAUGGGUAGCGAACA
This 206-nucleotide ribosomal RNA is filed under the name uncultured bacterium. Its description in RNAcentral is "partial 16S ribosomal RNA". It matches the Rfam family "Bacterial small subunit ribosomal RNA", at positions 568 to 774 of the family's 1533-position model. The record is from RNAcentral.